CGUGUAGGCGGCAAGGCAUGUCGGGUGUGAAAGCCCUCGGCUUAACCGAGGAAGUGCGCCCGAAACUAUCUUGCUUGAGUACCGGAGAGGAUGGCGGAACUCCCGGUGUAGAGGUGAAAUUCGUAGAUAUCGGGAAGAACACCAGUGGCGAAGGCGGCCAUCUGGACGGAUACUGACGCUGAGACGCGAAAGCGUGGGGAGCAAACAGGAUUAGAUACCCUGGUAGUCCACGCCGUAAACGAUGGGCACUAGAUGUCGUGGGUGUUGACCCCCGCGGUGUCGUAGCUAACGCAUUAAGUGCCCCGCCUGGGAAGUACGGCCGCAAGGCUAAA
This 332-nucleotide ribosomal RNA is filed under the name uncultured bacterium. Its description in RNAcentral is "bacterial SSU rRNA". It matches the Rfam family "Bacterial small subunit ribosomal RNA", at positions 568 to 898 of the family's 1533-position model. The record is from RNAcentral.